This 190-nucleotide non-coding RNA is filed under the name Phocaeicola vulgatus. RNAcentral's name for it is "Bacteroides vulgatus 6S RNA". It matches the Rfam family "6S / SsrS RNA". Rfam says of the family: E. coli 6S RNA was the first non coding RNA to be sequenced, but its function was unknown until recently. It consists of 184 nucleotides that fold into an extended hairpin structure with a large single-stranded internal bulge. RNAcentral also lists the same sequence under 4 other names. Lineage: Bacteria; Pseudomonadati; Bacteroidota; Bacteroidia; Bacteroidales; Bacteroidaceae. The record is from RNAcentral.
CAUCUUCUGAGAUAUGCGUAAGGUGAUUAGUUCUUUAAAUCCGAACAUUUCUGAUUAGGGAAUCCGAUUCGCUAGUGUGGUGUUGAAUGCCUAGCUUUUAUCACCUAGGACUCCUAAAACACUAGAUACGAUGCCCACCUGCUAUUUUAGCGGGUUUAUAUCCUAACACCUACGGUAUUUUGGAUAAACA